Molecule: long non-coding RNA, 747 nt
Organism: Gallus gallus (chicken)
Lineage: Eukaryota; Metazoa; Chordata; Aves; Galliformes; Phasianidae
Source: Ensembl
CAGGAGAAGAAAAUCCCUGUGCCUCUCCAGAGAAAUUAUAGAGCCACUACAAAAGAUUAGUAUAUGUAAGUCAUGAUUUCACUGGACAUAACAGGAAUUUUAACACCAAUUUCCAUUAUAGGACAGGUUUUCACUCUGUAUUGCUAAAAGUAACCUUACUUGGAGAGUGCCUUCAUAGCGAGAGGAGAGUAAAAAUUUCUCUGCGUAGUUGGAGACUGAUUUCCCCUCUACUAAAUUUCUAGCCUACUACAGAUUAGCCUACAAUUUUGCAAAAAGAACAAAAGAUAUGUGCCCCAAAAUUUCAGUGCAACAUGUUCAUUUUAAGCUUUCUCCAAUAAAAGGCUGCAGAUUUAAUGUGCAGGCAAAGAAGACUCUCUCAAGUUGCCAGAAGCUCAGCAACAGCACUGAGGAAACAAGAUUGUCAUUUGUUUUUAAACUCUGGAUGGACUGCCUUCCAUGUGCGCUUUGAAUAACUAAAUACAGUUUCCCUGGAAGCUGGGCUUGACUGGAGUCUUCAGAUAAAGGUGUUUUGCACAAUUUCUGAGUGCUCUGCCCAAAACCAUUCUCCCCUUCUCCAUUGUUUGCUGUAGCAACUAGGGGAACCAAGAAGAUAUCAUAACCACACUGAUGAAGAGGAAUACCUGAGACAUCAUUCAAGUCAGGGAGAAGUGAAAAAAUAGGAAAAUGGUGGGGGGGACUUCUGCAUUGGGAACAAUAAUUAAUCGGCUUCAUGAAUUUCAAAAGAAG